This 897-nucleotide ribosomal RNA is filed under the name Triticum aestivum (bread wheat). RNAcentral's name for it is "partial small subunit ribosomal RNA". Lineage: Eukaryota; Viridiplantae; Streptophyta; Magnoliopsida; Poales; Poaceae. The record is from RNAcentral.
AUGCAGUUGGUCUCGGGAGGCCAUACUGCCAUCUCUGUUAAUGGUCAGGUUAGUAAGUUCUUUCCCAAUGGUAGGGGCCUUCGGCAAGGUGAUCCUGCCUCGCCCAUUUUGUUCAACUUCGUUGCAGAUGCCUUAUCCCGCUUGCUUUCUAGGGCAGCAACUUAUGGGCACAUCUCUCCGGUUAGCUCUAAUCUUCUUCCCCAAGGGAUGACCCACCUUCAGUAUGCGGAUGACACUAUCAUUAUGGUUGAGCUGAAUGAUGCCUGCCUCGCCCAUCUCAAAUUUAUUCUCCUCUGCUUCGAGGCGAUGUCGGGCCUUAAGAUAAACUUUGCCAAGAGUGAAGUGAUUGUUACUGGUGUGGACGAGUCGGAAGCUGUGCGAGUGGCACAACUUCUUAAUUCUAAGCUAGGGUCUUUCCCUUUCAGAUAUUUGGGCCUUCCCAUAUCUCCGAACAUGCUUCAUGCGAAAGAAUUUGCCCCGGUGGUCACAAAGGUGGGCAACAGGGUCCUUCCCUGGCGUGGUAGGUAUAAUACCAAUGCGGGUAAAGUGGCUUUGAUCAAUGCUUGUCUGUCCUCCCUCCCCAUGUUCCUGAUGGGCUUCUACCUCUUAUCGGUUGGGACACAUGCUGGUUUUGAUAAACACCGUGGGGCGUUCUACUGGAACGCUGCUGAUAAUCGCCGUAAAUAUCGCUUUGUUAAAUGGAAGUUGAUGUGUAGGCCCAAAAACCUUGGGGGGUUAGGGAUUAUUAACACUUCCAUCAUGAACCAAUGUUUGUUGAUCAAAUGGUGGUGGAAGAUUAUGAGUGCUCAGGACCAGCCCCUUUGGCUAUCUAUUCUUAAGGCUAAAUAUUUCCCUUCCUCGAGCCCGAUGUUUGCUCACUCGCGGGGUGGCUCUUAG